This is a long non-coding RNA of Centruroides sculpturatus (bark scorpion), 617 nucleotides long. RefSeq lists it as uncharacterized. NCBI's taxonomy places the organism in Eukaryota, Metazoa, Arthropoda, Arachnida, Scorpiones, Buthidae. The record is from RefSeq and is a predicted model, not a curated record. The transcript has 2 exons.
CAAAAACGUUCGAUUCAACACGACAUAGUCCAACUGGAAUGCUUUCGGUUAACCAACGUUUCAGUUGAUCAACAUUCGGUUAAUCGAUGCUCUACUGUAGUUCCUUUUUUUCAACAUUGAAGUGGUGCUGUUGUCAAUGCUGACUCAACACACUCAGCACUCAACAGAUAUGUUGACAGCUACUUUCCAGUGAAUUAUGGGUAAUUGGAGCGACAUUUGAAUGAAAAAUGGCGACAAUGCAGGAGAUGUAUGUUACUGUCGAUAACAAAACAUAUCACUUUGUGAUUGAUGAAAAAACAGCAAAAAUGAUGACGGAAGGUAAGAUUUUAAAAAAUUGAAUAUCAUUUCAAGUAAGCAAUAAAUUUAUUUUUCAUUGUUUUUGUCAGAUCACAAUUAUUUACUAAAAUAUAUAAACUUCAAUCUGAGAAUCAGAAGCUUUCGGCAUCUACAGUACCUCAAAUUCCAGAAGGGAAACAGAAUCCACAGAAAGACCACCAAAGAAGGAAAGAACUGGUGAUGAACCACCAUUGUGGUUUAGAAAUUAUUUGAAAAAAAGAAAUAGAGGACAAAAGAAAAGCAGAGGUAGAAGAACAAUGGUGGAAUGAUUUUAAAAAAAA